GUUUUAUUUAUUUUUAAAAUAAAUAAUAUGGGCACAUAGUAAAGAAUUUGAAAGCACAAAAGGGGUUGUGAAAAAAAGCCUCCUUUACUCUCUUGUUCCUUAGACACCAAAUUCUUCUCGCUUGAAGCAGCCCUUUUUAUCAGUUUCUUGGAGCUCUUUCAGGAGAUAUACACAUUUCCGUGGAAGGCAACUACAAUACACUCUGCUAUUCACUUUGCUUUUUCCACUUAACGCUAUGUCUUGGACAUAUUAUAUAUCACUGCAUAUGGAACUGUUUCAUAGUUUAUAAAUUGAAGACAUGAUAUUCCAUGCUAUAAGUAUAAUGCACCAUAGCUCGUUUUGCUAGUCUUCUAUUAAUGGGAACUGAUGUUUUUCUUAAUAUUUUGCUAUUACAACAAUGCUGCAGUAAAUAUUCCUGUACUUUCAUCAUUUCCCACGUGUGUCAAAAUAUCUGUAGUCUAAGCACCUUCAAAGUUGAGUUGCUGUUUUAAAGGGUAUGUGCCUUUGAAAUUUUGAGAGAGGUUGCCUUGUCACCCUACAUAGAGUUUGUAAAACUUAUAUGCCCAUCAGGUAAGUGUGAGAGAACCCAUUUCACAGUCCUCAGACAUACAAUGUGUUAUCAAACUUUUUGAUCUUUGUCAAUUUAAUAGGUAAAAAAUGAGAUAUAUUUAUAGGCUUAUUCUUUUAUCUUUUUAUGAAUUAGUACCCUUUCCACAUGUUUAAGAAUCUUUCUGGACAUUAUUCGUUUAUAUCCUUUUGCUCAUUUUCUUACUGGGAUGCUGUUCUGUUCUCUUACUAUUUUACAGAGCUUCAUGUGUAUUACGAAAACAACCUUAUUGUGAUAUGACUGACAAAUAAGUGAGAAGUCCUAAAGAGAAAUUCAGGAUUGAGAUAGGCCUGGCAAAUA
Molecule: long non-coding RNA, 907 nt
Organism: Cebus imitator (Panamanian white-faced capuchin)
Lineage: Eukaryota; Metazoa; Chordata; Mammalia; Primates; Cebidae
Exons: 3
Source: RefSeq, a predicted model, not a curated record